UUUAGACUUGUUGUUUUAUAGUUGUCCUCAUCUAUAUCUGAUCAAAGCCAUGCAAAAAGAUACACCAUUUUUUUUAUCAUAUUGACGGAACAUGUUGUAAAAAAUCGUUGAUGUAUUUACAAAAAAAAAAAUGAUCCUUAAUAUUUGGUACAAUGUAAUCAUUCAUAAAUUCUGUCCCGAUUUUGUAAGCAAAAAUAGAUAAGAUGCCAACAUGUCUGAUCUGUGUACUGAGGCAGGUGUAAUACUCUUUGAUACAUGGAAAAUGCUUUGAUGAACCCAAAUAAACUAUUGACGUUACUAUAAGUUCAAAAAUUUGUAUUAUCUGUACGUAUGCUUUAAGAAAUGAAUACAACGGUUAAACUACGGUUAAUGCAAAAGUGAUGUAAAAAUGGCAAAAUUUAUGACAAAACCAUGGCAAAAAUGAACGACGACAAAAAGACAAACAGCAGAAUACUAAACAUACAUACAUACAUAACCAAUUAAUGGGAUAAUACGUUCAACAUAGUCAUCCAACUUUGAAAUAUUUAAUGAGAGUACAUCUUCUGUAUAUCGCACACUGAAGUAAAAGCAUGAUAUAAACGUCUUUCAUUUCUAUGCUCCUGUAUGAAUUUGCCACACAUAAAAAAAUGAACAAGUCGACCAGAGGAAGAGCACAGUUAAUUCCCAUAGAAAUUCUGAUAUAACAUUUAGUUCCUAUUCUUUAACAUUUGUUUUUGUAUUUUGAAGUGUGAUAAAUACCUAUAUGGAAUGUUUGCAAACAUAUUCGUCUGACUGCAAUUCAAAUGCAGUUCAUGAGGCCACUGCUUAUGCAAACACGACUCUAUACCAGUCUGGUUGUGAAAAUGAAGCGCAGAAUUGUUCUACUAAACAAAUUGAGGCCUGUGCCACAGCCUACUUCAAUGCAUUAAGAGAUUCACCACGAAACAAGGAGGCCAUUUGCAGGUCAGAUUGUACUUUUAGACUUGUUGUUUUAUAGUUGUCCACAUCUAUAUUUGAUCGAAACCAUGCAAAAAGAUACUCCAUUUUUUCUGAUCAUAUUGACGGAUAAUGUUCAUGAUGUUGUUCAAAAUCGGUGAUAUAUUUUUUUUUUAAAAUAUCCGUUAUAUUUGGUAUAAUGUAAUCAUUCAUAAAAUAGUUAAUUUUGUUCCGAUUUAGUAAGUUAAAACAGAUAAGCCGCCAACAUGUCUGAUUUGUGUACUGUCAAAACUAUUAGAUACAUUGAAAAUGCUUUGAUGAACCAAAAUUAACUAUUGACGUUACUAUAAGUUCAACAAUUUGUAUUAUCUGUACGUAUGCUUAAAGAAAGGAAUACUACGGUUAAAACUACGGUUAAUCCAAAAAUGAUGUAAAACAAAUUUAUAACUUCGAUACUAGAUGUAUAUCAUUGAAAAGGACAAGGUAACAUUUAGGGCUUAUUUUGCCUUGUGGAUUCCCAUUACAAAAAAACAUUGUUUGAUGCCACUACUUAUCACAUCGUUUAAACACCACGAACAAUGAUUUUCAGAGUUUGUAAAUACGAGAUAAUUAAACCUUGAUAAAACAAUUUGACUAUGACGUCAUGAAUGUCAUGUCAUCAACGAGAUUUAAAAAUGUUUAAACGAAAACGAUAGUUAUUAAGACGUUUUUUUCUAAGGUAACAUUGUAUACGAUGAUAUGGUAUGAGUGCCAACGAGACCUCUCCAUCCAAGUCACAAUUGGUAAAAAUGGAAACAAUUAUAGGUCAAAGUACGCUCUUCAACACGAACACGAAGCCUGUAUGUACACAGUGCACUUCCAUAUGAGUUCAGCGACAUGACAAUGCAUUGAAUUAGUAGCGAUUUUAUGCAAAAUCAUUAUUAUCUGACACCAUUAAGACAACAGUAGCCAAAGAUAUGUUUCAGCAGUUGUGUUCAGUACCAAAUAAUCAAUAUUUAAUUUUUUUAAAUCAGAGAUCGUGUGAAAAAUAUUUGAAUUUUUGGAAAAAAAAUGUUAGAAAUUGUGUCUUGUCCUAUGUUAAACAAUUGAACAUAUUUAGUGCGAUGCCAUCCUCUGUAUAUUGGAACGUGAUAUAAAAAAAUACUAUCGUUUUUCGUUCUACAAAAGAAGUUUUUAUUAUAUUUGCCUGAUAUAUAUAUAUAUAUAUAAAAGGAAUAAGUCGGCAAGAAGAGGAACACGGUUAAUUGCGAUGUUAUUUAUUGUAUUUAACAUUUGGUUCCUAUUCUAUCUCAUUUUCUUAAAUUUAAAAAAAACAGUGUAUUGACUUUACAUCUGGAGUGUUUGCAAACACAUUUUUCUGAGUGCAAUUUGGAAGCAGGUAAAGUGGCCAUUGACGAUGCCAGAAUGUCUCUAACCUACCACGAUUGUGGUACGUAUAUUAAAUCUUUACAAAUUUUUGCUAUAAAUUGAAUCUAUCGUACGUUCUUUAUAAAUAAGAACCUUGAUUCAAAAUCAUGAUUGCCAAUAAAACGUUACCACGUUACAACCUGUGUACCUUUACAGUGUCCACCAGUAUGCGUAUUUGAUGAGCCCCACGUUGAAAUAAUAAUAUUCAUAAAAUGUAUUCACCAUUCAAAUAUUUCAGGCUUAAGUACGAUUAAUUGUAAUUUCAGUUAGUUAAUGUUAGUUAUACAAACAUAUAAAGUAUAAUACUAAAAAUUGUACUAAUGAUAUUAUUUUAUUAACAUACAUACAUACGAAUUGUUAUGAGUUACCCUUUUCGUAAUGUCGAUUUAUCAAGAGUAUCAGAAUACAAAUAGAACAAUGUGUAGCUAUCAUGUGUAUAUGUGUGUUGUUGGAAACCUGUGUUGUUAAAAUAUCUCCGUCAACUCUUUUAAAUAAAAUAUCUAUUCAUCUUUUCAAUAGAACUCGAUUAAUAUUGUGAGUCAUUAUUUGUGUUUACUCAUAGCACCAAUGUAUCUCUUAUACGUUAACAUCCCUAUUCGUAAGAUAUAAAUAUUAUAUUUUGACGAGUUCAAUUAGGAUAAAGUAAAAUUACAAAAAUACUGAACUCCGAGGAAAAUUCAAAACGGAAAGUUCCUAAUCAAAUGGCAAAAUCAAAUGAUAAAACACAUCAAACGAAUGAACAACAACUGUUAUAUUCCUGACUUGGUACAGGCAUUUUCAAAUGUAGAAAAUGGUGGAUUGAACCUGGUUUUAUAGCGCUAAACCUCUCACUUGUACGACAGUCGCAUCAAACUCCAUUAUAUUGACAAAGAUACAUGAACAAAAUGUCACAUGCAUAUUCAAUUAAAGUGAUCAUUGGAAUACUCCGUGUGGCUUCAUGAUUUAGUAUUUUGUUCUUUUCAAAAAUCCUAUAGUCCAACUAGGUGAAUAGGUGAAUGGCUCUUUUAAAAAAACAAAUUUAUGACUAAAACUGAUCGUAUGCUACUCUGUAAUGUAAAACCAAAAAUUUCAAAUGAGUUGUAAAACUACAAUUUGGAAGAAAUGAUUGUUUUUUCUCGGUUAUAUGAUGAAUAAUUCUUUAAAUCUUUCCUCAAUUUUUGAAAUUGAAAUUGCUUUAUUCAGAAAAUGAAACGCAGAAUUGUUCUAAUCAACAUAUAGAGUCAUGUGCCGCAGCCUACUACAGUGCAUUAACAGAGUCUGCGGGAGAAAAGGAGGCAAUAUGCAGAUAUUAGUGACAAGCCGAAUUCAACAUCCUCUGAGAAUUUGACAUCUUCAUUGUCAGCUGAAGAAGCGGAAGCGCGGAAUUGUGCGACUCCUAGAAUACAGUCGUGCGUCUCAGCAUUAGAGAGUGCAAUAUCACAGGCAGGAGAAGACAAGGUGAAAAGAUGCAGUGCCGGAUAUAUCUAUCUGGAAUGUGUGACUACAGUUGGAACUUACUGCAAUUUGGAUGUAGGUCAGGCCUUAAUGGAAGUCAACAAGAUGUUAUCUCAGUAAGGCUGUGUUAAUGACAGUGGUAAUGGUGCCGGAAGUAUUAUUUUCACAUUUUUUGUGAUGUGUUUUGGACUUACAUUAUAUUAGCUUGUUUAGAUGCCAUAUUGUAAUACAAUCUAUAUAAACAAACCUAAAGAUACAUGUAUGCAUGUUUAUCCUAAAUGGAGGUAAAUUGUAUGGCUUUCCAAAUACCGUUUCGAUUCCUAACAUCACUGAAGAGACAUUAUUGUCGAAAUCCGGAUAUGGUGUACAAAAACCUUUGCACCUUUUGUUUGCGGUAUACCAUCUUUUCCGCAAGUUUAUUGUUUUCUGUUUAGUAUUAAAUUUAUAAUUAAGACCCAUUUAUUACAUCGGUGAUCCGUUUAUUUGGCAAUUGCCAAUAGCAGUCAGCAGGGUUUAAGAACAUUUGUUGUUCGACCUGUUAGGCAAAUGCGUUUUGUUAAAAUAUACUUUUUCACUUUGUUGGUCUUUUGAAAAAUGUUGUUUGUGCUGUAUUUAGACCCCUCUAACAAGAAAUUUGUUUUGCAUGCACACGUAUAAAAAUUGCGGUUUUUAUCCAACGCAAUCAUAGGUUUUAACGUUGUUUUCAAUUUAGACUUGUUUAUAUUUUUUCGUUUGGGCUUUUAUUAUAUUUGCCUUCGGGUUUAUAUGAUCCGUGCAUCCUAUUUUGACUCCUCAAAAUUCAAGAGUCUAUCCUAAAUUGAGUUAAAUUGUAUGGCUUUCCAAAUACCGUUUCGAUUCCUAACAUCACUGAAGAGACAUUAAUUGUCGAAAUCCGGAUAUGGUGCACAAAAACCUUUGCACCUUUUUUUGCGGUAUACCAUCUUUUCCGCAAGUUUAUUGUUUCCAGUUUAGUAUUUGAUUUAUAAUUAAGAUCCAUUUAUUACAUCUGUGAUCCGUUUAUUUGGCAAGCGCCAAUUGCAGUCAGCAGGGUUUAAGACCAUUUGUUGUUCGACCUGUUAGUCAAAUACGUUUUUUUAAAAUAUACUUUUUCCCUUUUUUAGUCUUUUGGAAAAUGUUGUUUGUGCUGUAUUUAGACCCCUCUAACAAAAAAUCAGUUUUGCAUGCACACGCAUUAAAAUUGCGGUUUUUAUCCAACGCAAUCAUACUAGGUUAAAACGUUGUUUUCAAUUUAGACUUGUUUAUAUUUUUUCGUUUGGGCUUGUAUUAUAUUUGCCUUCGGGGUUAUAUGAUCCGUUCGUCCUAUUUGCAAUAGACUCCUCAAAAUUCAAGAGUCUAUCCUAAAUUGAGGUAAAUUGUUUUCCUUUCCAAAUACCGUUUGAUUCCUAACAUCACUGAAGAGAAAUUAAUUGUCGAAAUCCGGAUAUGGUGUACAAAAACCUUUGCACUUUUUGUUUGCGGUAUACCAUCUUUUUCGCAAGUUUAUUGUUUUCUGUUUAGUAUUAAAUUUAUAAUUAAGAUCCAUUUAUUACAUCGGUGAUCCGUUUAUUUGGCAAUCGCCAAUGGCAGUCAGCAGGGUUUAAGAACAUUUGUUGUUCGACCUGUUAGUCAAAUGCGUUUUGUUAAAAUAUACUUUUUCACUUU
RNA transcript from Mytilus californianus (California mussel), 5418 nucleotides. RefSeq lists it as uncharacterized. The transcript is spliced from 6 exons. The record is from RefSeq and is a predicted model, not a curated record. NCBI's taxonomy places the organism in Eukaryota, Metazoa, Mollusca, Bivalvia, Mytilida, Mytilidae.